This 435-nucleotide ribosomal RNA is filed under the name alpha proteobacterium RD5-C2. Its description in RNAcentral is "partial 16S ribosomal RNA". It matches the Rfam family "Bacterial small subunit ribosomal RNA", at positions 32 to 507 of the family's 1533-position model. Lineage: Bacteria; Pseudomonadati; Pseudomonadota; Alphaproteobacteria. The record is from RNAcentral.
AGNNAACNCUNGNGGCAGGCUUANCACAUGCAAGUCGAGCGGGCAUAGCAAUAUGUCAUCGGCAGACGGGUGAGUAACGCGUGGGAACGUACCUUUUGGUUCGGAACAACGCAGGGAAACUUGUGCUAAUACCGGAUAAGCCCUUACGGGGAAAGAUUUAUCGCCGAAAGAUCGGCCCGCGUCUGAUUACCUAGUUGGUCAGGUAAUGGCUCACCAAGGCGUCGAUCAGUACCUGGUCUGAUAGGAUGAUCAUCCACAUUGGGACUGAAACACGGCCCAAACUCCUACGGGAGGCAGCAGUGGGGAAUAUUGGACAAUGGGCGCAAGCCUGAUCCAGCCAUGCCGCGUGAGUGAUGAAGGCCCUAGGGUUGUAAAGCUCUUUUGUGCGGAAAGAUAAUGACGGUACCGCAAGAAUAAGCCCCGGNUAACUUNNUG